Molecule: long non-coding RNA, 409 nt
Organism: Telopea speciosissima
Lineage: Eukaryota; Viridiplantae; Streptophyta; Magnoliopsida; Proteales; Proteaceae
Exons: 4
Source: RefSeq, a predicted model, not a curated record
UGAAGAAGAUACUCAAGCGACGAGGGAUUGACCCAAACAUCCACAAGCCCUUGACUGAAACAGAAGCACAAGAUGAGAAGAAAUGCAGAGAAAUGAAGACUACUUGCAAACAUCUCAGCCCAAGAAACAGAGAACCUUAUCAAGUUUACAACUUGGGACUACAGUUUCCAUUAACGAUUCAAACUACUAUGUUCAGGCUGUGACCAAGCAAGUCUUUGAUCCUUUCCCUUUGUUUGAAUUCCAAGAGAGCACAAUCAAUCCAACAGGAUCUAAUCCCAACUUUCUGUAUCAAAGCCACCAAGAUUCCAAAACUUUGAAUCAGAAUCAAACCCAUUUGGAAACGAGCUCAGAAUUUGGGUUUUCUUUGAUUCGCCAUCCAGCUUCUUGUGAUAAUGUCACAGAGACAGAU